AUACUUACCUGGACGGGGUCGAUGGCCGAUCAAGAAGAGUCAUGGUCUAGGCUAGUGGUCCGCAUUGCACUUGGUGGAUGCGCUGGCUUACCAUCUCCCCAAGUGGGAGAAUGGACGUCAUAAUUUGUGGUAGAGGGGGUAUGCGUUCGCGCGGCCCCUGC
This 161-nucleotide small nuclear RNA is filed under the name Triticum dicoccoides. RNAcentral's name for it is "snRNA U1". It matches the Rfam family "U1 spliceosomal RNA". From Rfam's summary of the family: U1 is a small nuclear RNA (snRNA) component of the spliceosome (involved in pre-mRNA splicing). Its 5' end forms complementary base pairs with the 5' splice junction, thus defining the 5' donor site of an intron. The record is from RNAcentral. Lineage: Eukaryota; Viridiplantae; Streptophyta; Magnoliopsida; Poales; Poaceae.